Molecule: long non-coding RNA, 4683 nt
Organism: Corythoichthys intestinalis (scribbled pipefish)
Lineage: Eukaryota; Metazoa; Chordata; Actinopteri; Syngnathiformes; Syngnathidae
Exons: 4
Source: RefSeq, a predicted model, not a curated record
CCAGACAGAAUCCACAGGUCACCAGUUGAAGGCUCUUGGGUCUUCUGACAUCAGCACCAUCAGUCAUGUGUAGAGGGGCCAUUCUCUAGCACGGGACCCGCCCUCCUGUGACCAUACAAGGCAACAGAGGAAUGCACAGCUUGGAGGUCGUGGCGCUUCAUAAAGACAACAGGCAUAACCCACAGGGGUCCGGCACUGAUGCUGAUCAUUUUUUUCCUAGAGGCAAGAAUAUCCGUCUCCAAGAACUUCUCCUCGAGCCCUGAUGAGUAACCGCGGCAUGACAUCUUUCAAAUUAGAACACUGCCUGGGCUUUUUCACUCAUAAACGGAGGAUUGGGGAGGAAGUUUCUUAAGCGGGGUUAGCAUGGAGGUGAGAUGAUGCCACAGACUGAUGAUCAUCGAGCAGCCUUCAAUCUCAUUCAGUUCCAGUGUUGGUGUGUAGCGUGACCAUGUCAGCUCGGGAGCAUGUGCCUUCUCAUGUGUCUACUGACAUAACUUUCAUCAGCUGUCUGACUUCCAGCAGAAUGUACACACGCACGUGUCCUCGCGCCGUCACGGGUCCCCCAUUGAUUCACUGGUACGGUCUCAGAUCUCAAAUCACUUCAAUCGCAUUGAUAAUUUGAACCUUUCAACAUUUAGCCUUUUUAGGCCACUCAUUUAAAUACAAAAAAAUAAAAUAAAAUAAAAACUUCAUUUACUGAGGACCAUGACCAGAGUUCAUUUCUCAUAGAAAAAAACCAUAGACUUCAAAAUAUAUUGACGUCACACGGGGCGCGGGGCAGAUUAAUAGGGGGUCUAUCUCCGUCAAAGCUGACCGAGUGGAAACACAGACAAAGAGCUUUUUACGUUGAAAAUUAUUGUGAAUAAAUGCUUAAAUCCCAGAAUUCUCUAUAGAUAUGGAUGUAAAACAGUCUCAAUUCUUGGUUAAAAGCAAAAAAACAAACAAAAAAAAAAACGCACAGUUAGCAUUUAUUUUACGUAAAUACUGUAUGUCAAAUGUGCUGCUCGUCUUUAAGCCACUGUCGUGCCGCCUUAUCAACACAAAGACCUGUUUACGAUGAAAAUUAUUAUGAAUAAAUGCUUAAAUCCCUGAAUUCUUUAUAAAUAUGAAUGUAAAAGAGUCUCAAUUGUUGGUUAAAAGCAAAAGAACCCGCGCAGGUAGCAUUUAUUUUACGUAAAUAUGUCGAAUGUGCGGCUCGUCUUUAAGUUCACUGUGGUGCCGCCUUACUACAACAAAGAGCAUUUUACGCUGAAAUUCAUGUGAAUAAAUGCUUAAAUCCCUGAAUUCUAUAUAGAUAUGGACGUAAAACAGUCUCGAUUCUUGGUUAAAAGCAAAUGAAAACGGGCAGUUAGCUUUUAUUUUACGUAAAUAUGUUGAAUGUGCUGCUAGUCUUUAAGCCACUGUGGUGCUGCCUUUUCACCACAAAGAGCUUUUUACGUUAAAAUUCUUGUGAAUACAUGCUUAAAUACCUGAAUUCUUUUUAAAUAUGAACGUAAAACAGUUUCAGUUCUUGUUUGAAAGCAAAAAAAAAAAACAACAACAACGUGCAGUUAGCAUUUAUUUUAUGUAAAUAUUGCGAAUGAUGAUGCAAAUGCCAUAGUGGUUAAUGUCUCCCAUUGAUUUUUUUCACAAUGUUUCAAAAUGCAUCCAUGGUACGAAAAAUAUAAUAAUUACCUUGAAUCCUCGAACAUAUCACUCCUGAGACAAUCCUUCCUGUUUGUAUGCAGUACAGCUUUCGUACUUUUUCAACCUAAAUUUUUUUUCCCAACCGUUUCAGAAUAACUGCGACCGACUUCGACCGAGUGUGGCAUGAAGGCAUGGUGCAGGUUCUGGGGAAUGUGUCCCAUUAAUAUCUUUAUGAAGUUUCUAAAAAAAAAAAAAAAAAAAAAAAUCCAAAGUAAACAGGAAAUCACGCAGAAAUUACCCGAAAUCAACAGGGAGUGACCGAAAUAAAUAGGACGUUACCCAGGAAUUUCCUCCAAAUCCAGGUAGUGACCAGGAAAUGAACCUAAAUCAAUAGGAAGUGACCCAAAAACUGUGCCAGAAAAGCCCUGACAUCAACAGAAGUGACCAAAACAAAUAAGAAGUCACCCAGAAAUGCCAUAAAAUCAACAAUCAAACCCUAACCCAGAAAAGCCAAUGAGUGAGGGUAAUCAAAAACAAAAACAAAAAAAAAAAAACAAAAAAAUCAUAAAACAUAAUCAUGCAAUAAUAAUGAUAUUGUUGAUAUAUAAUGAUAUCAAUGAUACUAAUGACUUUACAGUAUUCAAGAUACCAAAAUGUAAAUGAUUAUUAACCCUUUAUCGGGCAAGUGACCAUUUUUGGUAAUUAAAGCGAAAAGACAUAAAGACCUGGCAUCCAUAAAUGGGGACAUUACAUUUUGGGUCAUGUAGGACAAAAAAAAUUACCAUAAUGUUCGCACUAUAAGGCGCACCUGACUAUAAGCUGCACCCUUCAAAUUUGGCACGAAAACAGCAUUUGUUCAUAGAUAAGCCGCAAUGGACAAUAAACCUCAGCUGUCUUCACUGUAUUAUGAAAUAUUUACACCAAAAGAUAUUAACCGGUAACACUUUAUUUGACAGCGGCAUCAUAUGACUGUAAUAAGACCAAAUUAACCACCAUGAAGCUUUGAACCAAUAGCGUACCACACAAAUGCUAUUUUUAGACCGUGACGUCACCAUCGUAACGUGGACGUGGGUCAUUAUAGACACGCCCUUGCAUACAAUCCAUGUUAUUCCUGCUAGUUUUCGCCAGUAAUCUUUCAAAAAACAACCGCCGAUCAAACACUGCUGCUAUGGAACUUGUAGAAACGACUCUAGACAUUACAACAUAUGAAGGAUGUUUUCUUCAUACGUUUCCUGAAACCAAAAACUCGGAGGAAAAAAUGUGAAGAAUGGAUCAACUUGCACGGGCAUCCAAUAGACCAGUUUAACGCCAGCAAGCAUAUGCAGUAAACAUUUUGUUGGGGGCCAUGGUCCUACAGAGGACAAAGAGAUAAUCCAUUUUGAUAAUUUUAAUUGUUUUUUAGCACGGCGUUUUGCCGUGCUGCUUCUCUCUGACAAUGAAUGACCUAAAAAAAUUAAUAUGGUAUCUGACUGCGACUGUUACCUUUUCUCUUGUAAAAAAAGACAACAACUUUAGAAAGGGGAAAGUGUAAAUAAUUCAUAGAAUUAAGAUUUGUUAUUAAUGUAAAAAUUAAAAGUUUUUAUUGACUGUCACUAAGUAUAAUUUGCGAUCGCUACACAACAAUUGCAAUAUAAAUUGCCCCCAAGAACAGUCAGGGAUGUAAGACAACCAUAGGGUAUAAUAUAUAAAAAAGACAGGGAUAUUGGUGGUAAAGGAUAGCUUGAUUAAACAGGAGAAUGUCAUUGUCAGUGCCGUAAGAAAAAAGUGUCGAUAAAAAAGCCAAGGCUAAGCUUAGGUCGGCUCGUUUCUUUUUUCCAUCUUUUUCAGCGCUCGACACUCAAGCCCUCUCUUUAACUGAACAUUUGUAUGUUCUCCCACAUCUUUACCAGUGAAUUUGGCACCAGUGACAUCAUUUUCGGACAGAAUUGGUAUGUUUAGCUCAGGAAGCAUCUCGUUCGUACACUAUUUCCAUGCAUUUACGAUUGGGGACAAAAGGUUGACCCACCUAGCAACAAUUGCUAAAGUCAUCAAUAUUAAUGAGCAAAAGUGACAUGUUGCUUGCGGUACGCCUUUGGCUGCAAAGCUCCAUUGCUUCAAGAGGCUUCAUUUGGCCAUCACCGCUCCCUUUGGGGAGCAGUCAACCACUGCUCCCACCUGCUGUCAACACUGUUGCCGUCCAACAUGCCUCCUAGCAUGCAUUGCAGCGCUACAGAUGUUAGUAACAAACAAAAUUCAUGUUAUGUGCUAACUAUUUCUUCAGUUACUGUUCCAGUUGUUUCAUUAAUUGCUAGUAAUUGUAUUUGGCAACACUUUAUUUGACAGUGGCGCCAUAAGACUGUCAUUAGACAAUCAUAAUUACGACACCACACUGUCAUGAGCAUUAAUGAAUGCUUAUAACAGAUGUCAUUCAUUGUAAUCCGGCAAAUUAUCUCACUUUUGAAUGGAUGUAAAAGAUCCAAGCUAGACAUGAAUGGAAUUAGUGACAUAAUUUGCUGGAUGACACUUAAUGACAUUUGUCAUAAGCAUUCAGUAAUGCCCAUAAUUGUGGCAUGUCAUAAUUUUGACGGUUUUAUGACAGUCUUAUGACAUUUCUGUCAAAUGAAGUGUUACCUUUUUACCCAAAUAAAUCAACAAAUAAGCCGUACUGGCAUUAGCAGCAGGAUUCAAAAUGAAGGGAAAAAAGUAGCGUCUUACAGUGCGAAAAUAACGUUAACAUUUGGGAUUCAAGUGGACACCAGGUGUCAAUUAUAUGUAUACUGUAGGGCUGCAGCUAUGGAUUAUUUUAAUUUUCGAUUAAUCGAUGAACUAGUUAGUUCGAAUAAUCGUGUAAUCGGAUAAGGAACAUAAAAAAUACCUGACCUGAGCCUCAAACGGUAUUAAAAAAAAAAGAAAUAAAUGAGGAUAUAUGUACAACAAAAGAACAAUUGGCUAACUUACAAAGCAAAAGUCCGCUAGCCUAAAUGCAAUAAAAUGCCAAUUUUUAAAAAUUUUUUAGCAAUGCCCUUAACAAAUAGUUCAAACACGUAUACCCACACACAAAGAAAAAAAAAAACAAAA